This 3120-nucleotide ribosomal RNA is filed under the name Micruropus wahlii. Its description in RNAcentral is "eukaryotic LSU rRNA". It matches the Rfam family "Eukaryotic large subunit ribosomal RNA", at positions 961 to 3401 of the family's 3401-position model. Lineage: Eukaryota; Metazoa; Arthropoda; Malacostraca; Amphipoda; Micruropodidae. The record is from RNAcentral.
CCGAAGUUUCUCUCAGGAUAGCUGGGACGGGCGCUGUUUCCGAACGGCUUGUGAUCCCACAGUGAGGCGCAUCAGCAAUGGAGUUUCGUCCGGUAAAGCGAAUGACUAGAGGCACGCGGGGGUGCAAGGCCCUCGCACUAUUCUCAAACUUUAAAUGGGCGAGAACCCCGGCAUUCGUGCUCGAUGCACGGGGCGUCCAACGCGGCCAGCACCAAUGCGCUCCCUGUGCCAACGGACUCUAGACUCUCCUGCAUGCUGUUGUCUGCUUCUGCUCUCUAUGGUUUGUGGUGUGACUCAGGUCUAGUACGAAUCAUCCCGAUCCUCAGUGGGUCAUUUCUGGUAAGCAGGACUGAUAAUGAGGGAUGAACCUAACGUUGUGCUAAGGGGCCUAAACGAUAGCUAUCUCUUGAUACCAUUGGAAGGGUGCUGCUGGCUGAAGACAGCAGGACGGUGGUCAUGGAAGUCGACAUCCGCUAAGUAGUGUGUAACAACUAAUCCUGCCGAAGCGAGCAACCCUGAAAAUGGAUGGCACUCAAGCUCUCUCCCGAUGCACAACCGUCGGUGGCAAUAAAGGCUUCAGAAUGAACUGUCAGAACUAUAAGUCUCAAAGCCCCGACGAGUAGGGUGGCGUGCCGGUAAGCUUUGAAGGCCAAGACGUGAGUCAGGCUGGAGCUGCCGGUAAUGCAGAUCUUGGUGGUAGUAGCAAGUACUCUGGUGAACAACCUGGAGCUGUGAGGCUUGGACAAGGGUUCCAUGUCAACAGUGAUUGAACAUGGGUGAGUCGUACCUAAGCCAACUGUGAAAGCAGUGACAUCCCGUCAAGGGCAUUGCACGCGAAAACUCUGCAAAAGCAAAUGAUACAGCAAAGUCUCUCAGUGAUGUUGUUGAACGAAAGCACAAACUCUGUUUCUUGCUUAACUGCUUGAUGACACGAGGGUUAUCAGAGUACCUUCUAAUGCAAGUAGUUCACACACACAAAGACGAAAUGUGACGCAAUCAGACCGGGUAUGAGAGACUGUCGCUGAUGCUUGCGCUUGGUGUGAGUAGCGUGUUCUAAGCUCGAGAUUGGUUUUAAUGUCUGGCGAAAGGGAACGGGGACUUUGUUCCCUGACCGGUCCCGGCACCCUCGAUGGCUUCCGCCAAUCACCGGUCGGAGUAAUCCGAACCAGGCCACAGCCGCCGGCAGCCGCCCAAGGAAGAGUUUUCUUUUCUGCUUAACGCACGAGGUCAUCCCUGGCAGCAGUUCGGCUGGCGACAGGGUGUCCCGUUGCGGCAGAGCGCCACGACUGUCGUGUGCGUCUUGGUGUUUCUGCUGGUCCGUGAAAACGUGGUCGAGGGGAUCUAGCAAUGGACUUGUAGUCAAAAACGUAGACUCUCUUGCACACUUGUGUGUGAGGGAGCUUCUGCUAAAACGCCCGACAAGUUCGGGACUGACCGUACCCUAUAUCCGCAUCCGGUAUCCAAGGUUCGUAGCCUCUGCAGUCCCAGACACAUGUAGGUAAGGGAAGUCGGCAAACUCGAUCCGUAACUUCGGGAUAAGGAUUGGCUCUGAGGGCCGAGCUGGGCCGGGCUUGCUUGCAACGCAGUACCUAUAGUGACCGGAGUUUAAGGAGUGUACGGGGCCUAAGUAAGGUCGCUCUCCUUCACGGGAGUUGAGGCACGAACGGGUCUACUGCUCCGCUCCAACCACGAACGGCUGUGACGGCAGGUCUCUGGUCGGGUGCACAUCCAAAUGUUGGCCUCCAGCAUGUCUGGUUGGCGGCAGUGCAUCUCGUCCGACGGCUCCAGCGACUAGCGGCUAACUCAGAACUGUCAUGGACCAAGGGAAUCCGACUGUCUAAUUAAAACAAAGCGUUGUGACGGCCCCUGUUGGGUGUUGACGCAACGUGAUUUCUGCCCAGUGCUCUGAAUGUCAAAGUGAAGAAAUUCACCGAAGCGCGGGUUAACGGCGGGUGUAACUAUGACUCUCUUAAGGUAGCCAAAUGCCUCGUCAUCUAAUUAGUGACGCGCAUGAAUGGAUUAACGAGAUUCCCACUGUCCCUAUCUACCGUCUGGUGAACCAACAGGCAAGGGAACGGACUUGCAUGAACACAGCGGGGAAAGAAGACCCUGUUGAGCUUGACUCUAGUCUGAAUCUGUACGGAGACAUCGGAGGUGCAGCAUAAGUGGGAGGGCCAGGUUGCUUCGGCGGCCACCGAACCGUGAGAUACCACUACUCCCUUCGUCUCCGUACUCCACUCGGUUAUCGGGAGCAAAUACAAAGUGAAUGACGGCGUCUGGAUGCUUCGUGGUUGAGUGCGGCGCGGUGUCUUUGCGUUCUCGUUUGCGGGCCUUCGCGGGUUCGUGGGCGUUUGCGUGGAGCCCGUGUUCUCUCUUCCACACCAAAGGGGCUCCUGCCUCAUCCUGCUGAGGACAGAUUCAGGUGGGGAGUUUGACUGGGGCGGUACAUCUGUCAAACGAUAACGCAGGUGUCCUAAGGCCAGCUCAACGAGAUCAGAAAUCUCGUGUAGAGCAUAAGGGCCUAUGCUGGCUUGAUCCAGACUUUCAGUAUGAGUACGGACGGUGAAAGCCAGGCCUAUCGAUCCUUUUGACGUUACUGAGUUUAUAGCAAGAGGUAUCAGAAAAGUUACCACAGGGAUAACUGGCUUGUGGCGGCCAAGCGUCCUUAGCGACGUCGCUUUUUGAUCCUUCGAUGUCGGCUCUUCCUAUCAUUGAGUUGCAACCGUCGCCAAGCGUCGGAUUGUUCACCCAUAUCAGGGAACGUGAGCUGGGUUUAGACCGUCGCGAGACAGGUUAGUUUUACCCUCCUGUGGUCUGAAGCUUUUGACUGAGUUCUAAGCUUGUCGUGUCGCUAUGGAAGUUGUGGCCAGUACGAGAGGAACGUCACAACCGAACCUCUGGUCCCGGACUCGGCCGAGAGGCCGGUGGUCCCAGGCUACGUUCGUACAAGUAAGGCCGAACGCCUCUUAAGCCUGAAACCAUUCCAGAACAUGAGCGAUGCUAUUUGCAGUUGGCCUCUACGCUACGCGCUUGCGCGUGUGUGGCAUCGGGUGCUAGCACCUCAGGUCUCCGGACCUGUACAGGUGUAAGCCCGGCGGAUACAAGACAGAGCUGUUGCAC